CAUGCAGUCGAGCGGAACGAGAAUAGCUUGCUAUUCGGNGUCGAGCGGCGGACGGGUGAGUNAUGCUUGGGAAUAUGCCUUUGAGUGGGGGACAACAGUUGGAAACGACUGCUAAUACCGCAUAACGUCUACGGACCAAAGGGGGGGACGCUUCGGCACCUCUCGCUCAUUGAUUAGCCCAAGUGAGAUUAGCUAGUUGGUAAGGUAAUGGCUUACCAAGGCGACGAUCUCUAGCUGGUUUGAGAGGAUGAUCAGCCACACUGGGACUGAGACACGGCCCAGACUCCUACGGGAGGCAGCAGUGGGGAAUAUUGCACAAUGGGCGAAAGCCUGAUGCAGCCAUGCCGCGUGUGUGAAGAAGGCCUUCGGGUUGUAAAGCACUUUCAGCGAGGAGGAAAGGUUAGUAGUUAAUAACUGCUAGCUGUGACGUUACUCGCAGAAGAAGCACCGGCUAACUUCGUGCCAGCAGCCGCGGUAAUACGAGGGGUGCAAGCGUUAAUCGGAAUUACUGGGCGUAAAGCGUGCGUAGGUGGUUUGUUAAGCAAGAUGUGAAAGCCCUGGGCUCAACCUGGGAACUGNNUUUUGAACUGGCAAGCUAGAGUUUUGUAGAGGGUAGUGGAAUUUCCAGUGUAGCGGUGAAAUGCGUAGAGAUUGGAAGGAACAUCAGUGGCGAAGGCGGCUACCUGGACAAAGACUGACACUGAGGCACGAAAGCGUGGGGAGCAAACAGGAUUANAUACCCUGGUAGUCCACCCCGUAAACGAUGUCAACUAGCCGUCUGUAGACUUGAUCUGUGG
This 797-nucleotide ribosomal RNA is filed under the name Colwellia sp. SJ1791. RNAcentral's name for it is "bacterial SSU rRNA". It matches the Rfam family "Bacterial small subunit ribosomal RNA", at positions 54 to 842 of the family's 1533-position model. Lineage: Bacteria; Pseudomonadati; Pseudomonadota; Gammaproteobacteria; Alteromonadales; Colwelliaceae. The record is from RNAcentral.